RNAcentral lists this ribosomal RNA (504 nucleotides) under uncultured bacterium. RNAcentral describes it as "partial 16S ribosomal RNA". It matches the Rfam family "Bacterial small subunit ribosomal RNA", at positions 29 to 507 of the family's 1533-position model. The record is from RNAcentral.
ACGAACGCUGGCGGCGUGCCUAAUACAUGCAAGUAGAACGCACAGUUUAUACCGUAGCUUGCUACACCAUAAACUGUGAGUUGCGAACGGGUGAGUAACGCGUAGGUAACCUGCCUGGUAGCGGGGGAUAACUAUUGGAAACGAUAGCUAAUACCGCAUAAUAUUGAUUAUUGCAUGAUAAUUAAUUGAAAGGUGCAAUUGCAUCACUACCAGAUGGACCUGCGUUGUAUUAGCUAGUAGGUGAGGUAACGGCUCACCUAGGCGACGAUACAUAGCCGACCUGAGAGGGUGAUCGGCCACACUGGGACUGAGACACGGCCCAGACUCCUACGGGAGGCAGCAGUAGGGAAUCUUCGGCAAUGGACGAAAGUCUGACCGAGCAACGCCGCGUGAGUGAAGAAGGUUUUCGGAUCGUAAAGCUCUGUUGUAAGAGAAGAACGGGUGUGAGAGUGGAAAGUUCACACUGUGACGGUAUCUUACCAGAAAGGGACGGCUAACUACGUG